This 638-nucleotide ribosomal RNA is filed under the name Salmonella enterica subsp. enterica serovar Typhimurium. RNAcentral's name for it is "partial 23S ribosomal RNA". It matches the Rfam family "Bacterial large subunit ribosomal RNA", at positions 830 to 1380 of the family's 2925-position model. The record is from RNAcentral. Lineage: Bacteria; Pseudomonadati; Pseudomonadota; Gammaproteobacteria; Enterobacterales; Enterobacteriaceae.
CAAUCAAACCGGGAGAUAGCUGGUUCUCCCCGAAAGCUAUUUAGGUAGCGCCUCGUGAAUUCAUCUCCGGGGGUAGAGCACUGUUUCGGCUAGGGGGCCAUCCCGGCUUACCAACCCGAUGCAAACUGCGAAUACCGGAGAAUGUUAUCACGGGAGACACACGGCGGGUGCUAACGUCCGUCGUGAAGAGGGAAACAACCCAGACCGCCAGCUAAGGUCCCAAAGUCAUGGUUAAGUGGGAAACGAUGUGGGAAGGCCCAGACAGCCAGGAUGUUGGCUUAGAAGCAGCCAUCAUUUAAAGAAAGCGUAAUAGCUCACUGGUCGAGUCGGCCUGCGCGGAAGAUGUAACGGGGCUAAACCAUGCACCGAAGCUGCGGCAGCGAACGUAUCACCCAAGACAACUUUACGGAGUUGACGAUUGACGGAGCGAAGCGACGUCAAAGCGUUCAUUAAAGUCGAGUUGGCUUAGGGAUACGUUCGUUGGGUAGGGGAGCGUUCUGUAAGCCUGUGAAGGUGUGUCGUGAGGCAUGCUGGAGGUAUCAGAAGUGCGAAUGCUGACAUAAGUAACGAUAAAGCGGGUGAAAAGCCCGCUCGCCGGAAGACCAAGGGUUCCUGUCCAACGUUAAUCGGGGCAGGGU